This 1434-nucleotide ribosomal RNA is filed under the name Triticum aestivum (bread wheat). RNAcentral describes it as "partial small subunit ribosomal RNA". The record is from RNAcentral. Lineage: Eukaryota; Viridiplantae; Streptophyta; Magnoliopsida; Poales; Poaceae.
AUGCUUUCUCAGUCUCUGCUCGCGCUUGGUUUGCUCCUCCUGCUGAGCCUGAGCCUCGACAGAGAGGUGGCUCUAGCGGCGGAAGACGGCGAGUUCGCCUACCAAGGCUUCGCCACGGCGAACCUUACGCUGGAUGGCCUCGCCACCGUCAUGCCCAACGGCCUCCUGCUGCUCACCGACACGGAGUCCGCGAACACGGGCCAUGCCUUCCACCCCGCGCCACUCCAGUUCCUCGAAAGUUCCACCACGACGACGAACAGCACCACCAUGGCGCGGUCCUUCUCCGUGACCUUCGUGUUUGCCAUUUCGUCCAGGUACGAUGGCCUGACCAGCUACGGGCUUGCGUUCGUGGUCGCUCCGACCUCGAACCUCUCGGCUGCGAACGGCAGGCGGUACAUGGGCCUCCUCAACGCGACAAACGGCACGGCGAGCGACCGCAUCCUGGCGGUCGAGCUCGACACCAUCAUGGACGUCGCGUUCCGCGACAUCGACAGCAACCACGUCGGCAUCGACGUCAACAGCCUCGUCUCACGGCAGGCCAAGCCGGCUGGGUACUACAGCAACGAGAACGGCGCCUUCCAAGAUCUGAGGUUGAACAGCCGCAGGCCGAUGCAGGUGUGGGUGGACUACGACGCCCAAGCCAGGCGAAUCAAUGUGACAUUAGCACCUGUGCAGGUACCAAGGCCCAGGAAUCCUCUGCUCUCCGAGGUUAUUGAUCUCUCCACGGUCAUGGUGGACGAAAUGUAAGUCGGCUUUUCUGCUUCUAGCGGUACUCCCGGUGACAAUCACCACUCUGUCCUUGGAUGGAGUUUCAGCUUCGACGGACCCGCCCCGACGCUUGACUUCUUCAAGCUUCCCGCCCUGCCAUGGCUAGGUCCCAAGCCUCGGUCCAAGAUCUUGAACAUCGUGUUGCCACUGGCAGCGGUAUCGCUUGUCAUUGCCGUGCUAGCUGCCGCAUUCUUCUUCUUGUGGCAUCGGUGCCGAUUUGCUGAGGUGAGAGAAGACUGGGAGGAUGAGUUCGGCCCACAUCGUUUUGCAUACAAGGAUUUAUUUCAUGCCACCGAGGGGUUUUCUAGUAGGAAUUUACUUGGAGUAGGAGGAUUUGGAAGAGUGUACAGAGGAUUGCUUUCCGCGUCCAAUUUGGAGGUUGCCGUCAAGAGGGUGUCACAUGAUUCGAAACAAGGACUAAGGGAGUUCAUUGCGGAGGUGGUCGCAUGUGGUCGUAGGCCAAUCAACAAUAGCAAGGAUAUCACAAAGUUAGUGUUGGUCGAUUGGGUGCUUGAACAUCACCGCAACGGCUCAAUUCUCGACGUGGUCGAUCCACGUCUUAUGGGGAAUUUCAACACAGAGGAAGCCACCCUCCUGCUCAAAUUAGGUUUCAUUUGCUCUAUAUCUGGUGAGUCUUCAGUGACCGUUCUACAAGAGGGGAGAUGA